UGGGGAAUCUUGCACAAUGGGGGCAACCCUGAUGCAGCGACGCCGCGUGAGCGAUGAAGCCCUUCGGGGCGUAAUGCUCUUUCGACCGGAACGAUAAUGACGGUACCGGGAGAAGAAGCUGCGGCUAACUACGUGCCAGCAGCCGCGGUAAUACGUAGGCAGCAAGCGUUGUUCGGAGUUACUGGGCGUAAAGAGUGCGUAGGCGGUUUUCUAAGUUCGGUGUGAAAUCUCCCGGCUUAACUGGGAGGGUGCGCCGAAGACUGGGAUGCUGGAGUGUGGGAAAGGCAGGCGGAAUUCCUGGUGUAGCGGUGAAAUGCGUAGAUAUCAGGAGGAACACCGGCGGUGUAGACGGCUUGCUAGACCAUAACUGACGCUGAGGCACGAAAGCGUGGGUAGCAAACA
Molecule: ribosomal RNA, 402 nt
Filed under: uncultured bacterium
Lineage: Bacteria
Description: bacterial SSU rRNA
Rfam family: Bacterial small subunit ribosomal RNA
Source: RNAcentral